UUUUGUGGUGAGAAAAAUUAUAUCAUUUUAUAAUUUAUAUUAUAAAUUCUGAGAUAUUAUUACAAAAAUUAUAUAUAUAUAUACACUUUUAGAAAACAAACCCAUGUGGGUGGGUCCCCCUUUUGUCCAUACCAUCAUUUUCCCUUCCUUUCCCUCUUUUCUAAUUUUGAUUCCCCUCGUUUCCUUUCCUUUUCAUUUCUUGUGGCAGUCGUCUCUUUCUCACCAUGGAUGCUCAACCUUUGAGCUUUGAGUGGAAGUCCUUAGAGUGAGAUUUUAUAAAAGUUUUAUAAAUGAAAGUCGGAGAGCUUGUCGUGAUCUUCGCAAUGGUAGUCUCGAAUUCAUGAUCAGGCAAGUUUUGCCUUCCAGAUUUGUUCUUCUUCAUUAUUUGAGAUUUGGUGAUUCGAUGAGCAUAUCUUCAAUAGCAUUAUAGAAAUUUAUUCACAACCAAGGCAUCUUAAGGCCUGCUCUUAAGGACAUGUGAUGAAGAAGCAGAAAGAGAUUACAAAUUUUAAGAUCUUACAAUUUGCAAUUGACAAUUUGUCAUUUCAGUAAAUCAUAUGUAAACAUCAAUUAGCAUA
This is a non-coding RNA of Camellia sinensis, 578 nucleotides long. The record is from RefSeq and is a predicted model, not a curated record. Lineage: Eukaryota; Viridiplantae; Streptophyta; Magnoliopsida; Ericales; Theaceae.